GCGGGUGUCGCCAAGUGGUAAGGCACGAGCUUCCCAAGCUCGCAUCCGCGGGUUCGAGUCCCGUCACCCGCUCCA
RNAcentral lists this transfer RNA (75 nucleotides) under Thermophilibacter immobilis. Its description in RNAcentral is "Olsenella sp. LZLJ-2 tRNA-Gly". It matches the Rfam family "tRNA". From Rfam's summary of the family: Transfer RNA (tRNA) molecules are approximately 80 nucleotides in length. Their secondary structure includes four short double-helical elements and three loops (D, anti-codon, and T loops). Further hydrogen bonds mediate the characteristic L-shaped molecular structure. tRNAs have two regions of fundamental functional importance: the anti-codon, which is responsible for specific mRNA codon recognition, and the 3' end, to which the tRNAs corresponding amino acid is attached (by aminoacyl-tRNA synthetases). tRNAs cope with the degeneracy of the genetic code in two manners: having more than one tRNA (with a specific anti-codon) for a particular amino acid; and 'wobble' base-pairing, i.e. permitting non-standard base-pairing at the 3rd anti-codon position. RNAcentral also lists the same sequence under 1 other name. The record is from RNAcentral. Lineage: Bacteria; Bacillati; Actinomycetota; Coriobacteriia; Coriobacteriales; Atopobiaceae.